AACAUCUGCCCUCCCCCACUUCAUCAUUUGGAUGUUGUCCAUCUUGUGCCUGUCUUUUCUCCAAGGUAUUCAUGGAACACUCACCCUGCUAGGCCCUGCGGGAAGUGAGGAGGGGGGCAAUCUGAUAAGUCUGCAUGCUCCUGGAGCACACCUUCUAGGCAGGGGGACCGAGAGGCAAGGGAAUGAACCCUUUGUUGGAUGCAGUUACAUGCUGUGGAGGAAGAGUAGACCUGAAAGGCAGUUGGUUAUCAUUUUAAACAGCAUAGUCAAAGCAGACCUCGCUGAGAAAGUGAUAUUUAAGUAAGGACCCGAAGGAGAGAUGAGGGAGCCAGGUGGACAUGUCCAGAGCACUGCAGGAAGAGGGGACUGCAAGAGCGAGGCCCCGAGGCAGGAGUCCUCCGGCAUGUGUGAAGAGCGAGCAGGUGCUCCUGGAGGGAAGGACAAGGAGAAGACAGCGAUGCCGAGUCUGAGGGACAGUGGGGAGCCGGGCAGAGCAUGUGUAUUGUGUCUGAGUGCGCCCCCAUCUUGCCAAGUCUCGCGAUGAAGCCCACUGAAGAAUGGCUGAGCAGAGGAGACAGGAGCCCGGCUUCCUGAUGACGUUGAGCACCCAAAUUAGCUGAUCCUGGAGCUCAUUUCUAAUGCUCAUUGAAGCUGGAGGUUCUGCUUCUUGCCUUCAGAGGCAGCCUAACACAAUUAUCUUCCUAGAACCCAGGCGUCUUCUUCUCCAAGGGGUUAUCAUGAACAGUGUCUGGCAUACCAUAGGCAUCACUAUAAAUUUUAGGAAAGAAUGAAGAGUAAAAGCUGGAAAAAUCUUAAGUCCCAUGACUGGAUAAUUAUGGUACCUCCAUCUAGUGGGAUUCUCUACCACCAUUAAGGAAUGAGAUCCAAGCGUGUAGAUACUGAGUCAUCUCUAAGUGAAUGCUGGUGGAAUUGGAAGGAGAUGCAUAAUCAAUCCUUGACUACCGAAAGCUGCUUCAUCAUAGUUCAAUUCAGGUGUGACCGAGAUGCUGCUUAUCUGCAGCCCUGAAACUAGGAAUGCUUAAAAUUCAGCUCACCUGGUUCUUUGGGUUCACAUCUUGUAUGCUCCAGGUGACCUCUUCACUUCUGUUUGGGUUCACCCUGCAAACCUCCACAUUUUCCAUGCUGUGUUGGCGGUCCACCGUGUCUCUCCUGAGACCCCUGGAGGGAGAUGCUUUGCUGGUGGUGGAAAGAACAGAGGCCUGGGUCACUCCAUCUGCUGUCCUAGACUUGUGGCUUCCUCAUUUCUCCCUUGAGGGUGCCAGGGACUCGGGGGGGACUCACCAUGUCCUAUACAGGGGCUCAUAAGCUACCUGAGGUAUGCUGGCUGCAGUGAGUCCCCAAAGAGGGCACUUUGCUUUGGGAACAAGAGCAGGGUUGGAGCUUUCCAUGUUGUGCCCACACCCCACCAGGCUCAAGGACAAGGCAGAGGCUACAGUGCCCAUGACCCUAGACACAGGUCUAGGCUGCGGUGGGACAGCUAAUAGUUGUUUUCUGAAUCUCUGAGGAUAAGGAGAGAGCAUUUCCAGCCUGAAUCCAGUGAGGCUGAGUUCUUUGAGAUACACAACUGGAGACUAGUUUUCUUCGAAAAGAGAUGUGAUAGGAAACAAAGGGCUUGCAUUUAUUCCUGUUACUAAAGGAAAGAUUUCCCAUGACAUAGUUUAGGUAAAGACUGAUGUGGAUGUUUGGAAGCCUUGAAAUCCAAAUGAAUAACCGACACUAUCCAAUAGACUUUUCUGAUGAAAAUGUUCUAUGUUUACACAGUCCAGUAUGGUAGCCACAAGCUACAGGUGACUAUUUAGUGUUUGAAAUGGGGUUAGUGUAGUUGAAGAACUGAAUUUAAAGCAUAUUUAAUUUUGAUUGAUUUAAAUAUGCAUAGCCACUAGUGGCUGGUGAUGAUCACUUUAGACACAUAGUUAUAGACAACUGACUUUCACUACAGUAAUGAUUUGGGGAAAGAAAGUAGCAUUUUUGAGAGUUGUAUUUCAAACACAAUGGUGGAUGGUUUCUGUAACAGAAUUAUCUCAUUUAAUCCCUACUAUUUAGAGGGAUAAACUGGGGGCCAGAGAGAGGUGACUGGCCCAAUGUGGCAUCCUUAGAGGGGUCAAGGGAAGGGUCCAGCCCUGGGUCUGGCCCAUUCUUUCUCCAAGCACCAUCCUGUAUGCUGUGUAACCAGAGAGAUUCAAGAUGGACUGGAGGGGGUUAUCUUACAGCAACAAAUCUAAUUAACACCAGAAAACACAACUUUGUGGUUAGGGAAGCUGGGAUUAUCUUAAGAGAAGAAUACUGAAAGAACCAAUCAGUCUUUAGUAUUAAAUUAAAACAUUUAGUUUUUGGAGGAGAAUGGCAGGCUGCCCCUCUCACCACUACUGAAAGUGGCACUUAAUUCUGGCUAUAGGGAGCACAUAGGAGAAGGUUUUAAAGCCUUACCUCUGUCACGGGGGCACUUCUUUCCACAUCUCAGUGAGCCUGAGUGGACUUCAGGUCCCCAUGGGCCAACUCUGGUCUAGGAGGAACUCAAGCCUUGGGGCACUGUGAGUAGCAUUUAGACUAACCAGAAACUGGUGGCUUCUGAAGCAAAAGCCUGUAUUCAGAUUAUCUGUAGAUCUCAAAACUGAUGUUAGCAAAAGCACACAGCGUGGACAGCCUCUUUGCUGGACCACUCUUGAUACGGAGUUAUUGCCAAGCUUCAGCAGAUGAAUAGAAUUGUGAGGAAACUCUCUGCUGUGGGCAGGAAACAAUUCCUUAAAAAUCCACCAUGAAACUGCCCACUCACCUGUGGGCAGGAAACAAUUCCUUAAAAAUCCACCAUGAAACUAAAAGUAAUUUAGAUUGUAUAGCUUUGAGAAAAAAACUUCUCUUGCAAAGAUUUGACAAGAGAGUUUGACAUGUAACUGACAAAAGAUGGAUUUUUUUUUAAAUGAAAUGAACAUGGUCAGUACUACAUGUAUUGGAUAUUGCAGUUUUCCAAAGUAAGCCAUCAUUUUUGGCAUGUCACUCAAGAAAAGAGCAUCAUCGUAGAC
Molecule: non-coding RNA, 3041 nt
Organism: Odocoileus virginianus texanus
Lineage: Eukaryota; Metazoa; Chordata; Mammalia; Artiodactyla; Cervidae
Source: RefSeq, a predicted model, not a curated record